UGCCAGUUCUAAGAAAAAACAGCAGAAAAUUGUUGUUUUGAUUUGGGUCCCUGGUGGUCAAAGUUGGAAUCAAGGGCUGGGUAUUGGUCGCUUCGGGACUUUCACCAAAACGUCGUUUCUUAGAACUGGCAAGGUGGGGUCUCAGGUCAAGUUCCCGAAAUCUGGCAACUUUUCAGAAAGGUACACUGGGUAGUCACUUUUUCCUGUAGAGGCUUAUGGAGCGAUGUUCCUCCUUCUUCUCAUCCUUCGUGGCUUGGCGUUCAGGACUCUUUAACCGCAGAACGCACUACCGGUUUCAAACUAAGCAGCAGUUGAUUCAAUGAUUGCGUCUGCAAUCGUUCAACUUGUAUGCAGCCAGGCGAAAAGUGAAGAGGGCAAAACUGACAAUCAUGGUUUUGAAAAAGAACAUGAAGCAAUUUGAGGAAAAGUUUGUGGCACUAAAUCACUUUUAGCUUGAGAUAUUGAUAACAGUUAAAGUCUAGCCAACCGACGCGGUAAAUUGAAAUCUUCCAGCACCGAACAUGCAUUCACCCGCCAAAAGUGCGCCGACACCCAUGCAUAACACUACUGGCGCUCGUCUGUGUGACGUAAUUCUUUCCAAGUUUAAAGGAAAAACAAAACAUAAUUCGAAAAUGUAAUACUUAAUGGGAAAAGUUUGGGUGUAAAGAAUACAGCUUUUUCUAUUCAAUUAUUUCUUGUCUACUCUUCUGCCACGAUAUCAUGCGACCUACUUGUUCGCAACCUUUGAAUAAUGACUUUGAGUUGUUUCAUUUUUUAGGUCGGUGUUCUUUUCUGUCGUCUGCUUUCAAAUGUUCACUCAUUCUUGUGCAAACAGGCAAAGACGCGAUAGCCUACCAAAAGUCCCAUAAAAAAACAUUGGAAUACUACAAAAAUAAUUUGAUUUUUUGAACGAGUGAAUAACAAAAGUUAAGAGAUGCAACACUUCAAUUUCGAUGUCUCUGGUCGAGACUACAUCGUGGAUCAGCAUGAAAACACAUUUAGCACACGUUUUCAGUUGACUUGUUGAUUACGAAAUUUUACGUAACCCAAGUUGAAUGUGACAAUUGCCACUAUUCCCAUCACACUGUUGGUAGUCGACAAACUACUAACAAUGCGAGACUACCUGUCGCUCUCCAGCAAUCACGUAUGCCACCGUCGGCAAUUUGUAGAUAACCAGUCAGACUUGAAACUAACUUUAGGAGAGGCGUAGAAGCGUUCAAAUAACAAAAUAACUUGAAAGAUAAACUCAAGUUUCGACAGUGAUGGCUUCUGCAUAUUAUUUCUUUUGGCUUUUGUUUUGACGAGCGAGUGAAUGAAUGACGUCAAAUCUUUGAAUUUGUAAUUGCUGUAAAAAAAUGAAACGUCUAAAAGGUAUACAGACGCCGAAUGCGAAGAUGUGCAGACGACGGAUGGCCAAUCAAAAAACAUGUCUGAAAAUUUUUGAUUUCCUGUCGACGCAGAUUCCGUGUGUGUUUUUCAUCCGGAAGUCGCCGAAAGUAAAAGUGAUGUAACUUCCUCUCCGACUAGUAUAUUUUCUUCCCGUGCAGACUGACCAUAACCAUGAUGAUGUCUGAGCGUGAGCGACGCUCACACAUCUGUCCGACGUCGAGUAGCUUGCUGUCGUCGUUUCUCCAAUCGCACGAGUGCCGCUGUUCCAUGGCAAAAUAUACAUCUACUAAAUAGAUAUAGGGUGAGAAGUAGUAGGCUAUAGACUUACGCCAGAGAGAGUGCCCAGCUUAACUUUUUCGAUGCAAGCCCGACUUCUUCAUGUUUGUACACAGCUGGUAGAUCGGGUGAGAA
Molecule: long non-coding RNA, 1800 nt
Filed under: Daphnia pulex (common water flea)
Lineage: Eukaryota; Metazoa; Arthropoda; Branchiopoda; Diplostraca; Daphniidae
Description: uncharacterized LOC124198194
Source: RNAcentral